Elaeis guineensis (African oil palm) is the source of this 1615-nucleotide long non-coding RNA. RefSeq lists it as uncharacterized. The record is from RefSeq and is a predicted model, not a curated record. NCBI's taxonomy places the organism in Eukaryota, Viridiplantae, Streptophyta, Magnoliopsida, Arecales, Arecaceae.
GGUGACACUCUUCUCAACGUUUCACCUCUGUUUUCCAUCAUAAAAAAUUCCCCCUUUCCUUCUCUCCUCCUCCACUCUGCUUGUGCUCUCUCCUUCCCCACUGCCUCUGAUUAACACACACUUCUUGAUGCCCCCGGCUACAGUCUUUGGCAGGCUGAAUGAAGACAGUCAUCCAACGAGUGGAGAAGAUGGCAAGCACUGCUCCUGAGACGGGAUCCUUUUCGAUAGGAGUUGCUAAGGUCAAGCAGGACCUCCUAAAGGCCUUCAUGACGUGCCAAAUCUGCCACAAGCUUGUCACUGAUGCCACCACCAUCUCCGAAUGCCUCCAUACUUGUUAUGUGAUUGCAUGUGUUGUGGAUCUCCACCUCGGCCUCGGCUAGAUACAUCCUCGGCAUCGAUCGAACUUCAGAAGAUGGACCAGAUCAAACAACACAUCUGUUAUGGGCCCAAAAGUUGCCGGACGCUCACCAUAGUAGACGUAGUAGCUGGGUCCUCGACUUAUGCGGAGGAGUUCACCUGGCUCUGGACGAGCUAUUUUGGGUUGGCUGGAACCCGAACUAUGGUCGGAGGACCACCGUUGACAGAAUUCGCCUCUCCAGCAAAUUGGGAAAGUCCAGAUAGAGAAGAACUUCCCCCAAAAAGAAAGAACUCUCGCCAACUCAAUCAAUACGUAAAAUUCGAAUGACUCCGAUUUCUCUCCUAUAAAUAAAGAGGCAUUGAGACCCUCGAAACUAAGUUCUCCACUCCCACUCUCCCUCUCAUUGUUCUCCAUCUCCUGAUCUGAGCGUUGAAGGGUCUUCACCAGAGAACACCCCGGUGAGGACAUUUUGCAGGUUCUUGGGCGGAGCUCUAGUGGCAGCAGUACCUCGGCUACCUCCACCUCGGCUGCCCGACCUCAGUUUGCAGAAAGUGUAUUUUUGAGAAGCUUGCUGAUGAGGAGGUAGAUCAUUGUCCCAUAUGCAAUAUUGAUCCUGGUUGCAAUUCAUUCAAAAAGCUCAGACCUGAUCACAAUCUAUAAGGGAAAAAAUAUUUCCAUUUAAAAAUGAAAAGGAAAAUGUUGGGACUUCUGUUGCUGAAGCAAAUCAAGCCAACGGUCUUACUGCUGAAGUAUCCAUUUCUUCAGUGGGGGCCAGAGCUAGAAGGUUAGGAUGAGUUCGCCAGUGGAGGGAGCCGGGAACCUCAGCUCAAGCACAACUAAAUCAGUUUUGGAUUUAUUUAGUUGCUGCAGUCGGCUAAGAUGGUAAUCUACCUAUUUCUUAUAUCCAAAAGUAUCUGACAAGGAAACUUGAUAUUUCAAAUGAAUCCAAGGUGGAGAUCAUGUGCCAGGGUCAAACGGUAAGUCCACCAAUGACCCUGCAAAAUGUAGCCGAUCUGUGGUUCCAAACUCUAUCAUCAGAUAUUAUCCAGGCGCCAAUUGGAUCUUCAGCCAAGGACCUUGUCAUGGAUUUAGUUUACAGCUGCAAGGUUCCAGCCUCUUGACUGUUGUAUUCUUUCAAAAUCUCCAAGGACAUCAGUCUUUUAAGUGCCCCUUGCAAUUGGGCCCUUGAGCUUCAUGAUUGGUCAGGCUAUGCAAUUGCUGGGUUGUUCUAUGAGCAAAACUUGGAUAAUUAAAGUC